Molecule: long non-coding RNA, 415 nt
Organism: Ostrinia nubilalis (European corn borer)
Lineage: Eukaryota; Metazoa; Arthropoda; Insecta; Lepidoptera; Crambidae
Exons: 3
Source: RefSeq, a predicted model, not a curated record
GGGCGCCAGCCACAGUCGAGCAAGCCGCGCGUCUGUUAGCUGAACGCGGCGUACACCUAUCGAUAGCGGCGUCCAAGCGCAUCACAGCACUAACGGCGCUAUACGAGUUAGCCGGGGGAGAACUAUUAGCGGCGCAACAAAGGAACUAUGCUAAGGACCCGCGCCACCUAGUCCUGCUUCGCGGAUACAGCUUGAAGGAGCGACCGCCAAGCCCCGCGCCGCCGCCCGUGCCAGACAUACAGGGGGAUGUGUACCCGCAAGGCAGGACCGGCACUCAAGUGGUGCGCCCCCCCGCGCCGCUAUUCCCCCGCGGCGCCCCUCGCGCGCCCAACUGGCCCGCGCCCGCGCGCCAGCCCAUAUACACCAACAACUCGGCGCUACUCACGCAGCUCGCACAGCCGUCCUACCCGCCGCC